Molecule: ribosomal RNA, 534 nt
Filed under: fungal sp.
Lineage: Eukaryota; Fungi
Description: eukaryotic LSU rRNA
Rfam family: 5.8S ribosomal RNA (bases 159-312)
Source: RNAcentral
CUCUGGGUCACCUCCCACCCGUGUUUAUUGUACCUUGUUGCUUCGGUGCGCCCGCCUCACGGCCGCCGGGGGGCUUCUGCCCCCGGGUCCGCGCGCACCGGAGACACUAUUGAACUCUGUCUGAAGAUUGCAGUCUGAGCAUAAACUAAAUAAGUUAAAACUUUCAACAACGGAUCUCUUGGUUCCGGCAUCGAUGAAGAACGCAGCGAAAUGCGAUAACUAAUGUGAAUUGCAGAAUUCAGUGAAUCAUCGAGUCUUUGAACGCACAUUGCGCCCCCUGGUAUUCCGGGGGGCAUGCCUGUCCGAGCGUCAUUGCUGCCCUCAAGCACGGCUUGUGUGUUGGGCUCCGUCCCCCCGGGGACGGGUCCGAAAGGCAGCGGCGGCACCGAGUCCGGUCCUCGAGCGUAUGGGGCUUUGUCACCCGCUCUGUAGGCCCGGCCGGCGCCAGCCGACAACCAAUCAUCCUUUUUUCAGGUUGACCUCGGAUCAGGUAGGGAUACCCGCUGAACUUAAGCAUAUCAAUAAGCGGAGGAA